AAGCGAAGCGGCUGGUUACCAGGCAAAUCCGGUAACCUUAAGGCUAGAGCGUGACAGGUAAGCGAAAUCUAAGGAAAGUAGCGAAGCACAUGAUGACGGCUUCCAGGAAAAGCUUCUGGCAAUGCAUACGCGGCCCGUACCAAAACCGACACAGGUGGGCAGGGAGAGAAUCCCGAGGUGAGCGAGAGAACUGUUGCCAAGGAACUCGGCAAAAUGACUCCGUAAGUUAGCGAGAAGGAGUGCUUAAGCAAUUAAGCCGCAGUGAAGAGGCCCAAGCGACUGUUUAACUAAAACACAGCUCUCUGCGAAGUCGCAAGACGAAGUAUAGGGGGUGACACCUGCCCGGUGCUGGAAGGUUAAGAGGAUCUGUUAAGAGCGAUCUGAAGCAGUGAUCCGAAGCCCCAGUGAACGGCGGCCGUAACGAUAACGGUCCUAAGGUAGCGAAAUUCCUUGUCAGGUAAGGUCUGACCCGCACGAAAGGUGUAACGAUUUGGGCGCUGUCUCGGCAGCAGACUCGGUGAAAUCUUAGUACCUGUGAAAAUGCAGGUUACCCGCAACUAGACGGAAAGACCCCAUGAGCUUUACUGCAGCCUGAUAUUGAAUUCUGGUCAUACAUGUACAGGAUAGGUGGGAGACAAAGAGACGUGCACGCCAGUGUACGAGGAGUCGACGUUGGGAUACCACUCUUGUGUGACCGGGGUUCUAACCUGGUAUCGAGAACAGGUACGGGGAGAGUGUCAGGUGGGCAGUUUGACUGGGGCGGUCGCCUCCCAAAGAGUAACGGAGGCGCCCAAAGGUACGCUCAGAUUGGAUGGAAACCAAUCGACGAGUGCAAUUGCAGAAGCGUGCUUGACUGUGAGACAAACAAGUCGAACAGGGACGAAAGUCGGGAAUAGUGAUCCGGCGGUGCCGAAUGGAAGGGCCGUCGCUCAACGGAUAAAAGCUACCCUGGGGAUAACAGGCUGAUCUCGCCCAAGAGUUCACAUCGACGGCGAGGUUUGGCACCUCGAUGUCGGCUCAUCGCAUCCUGGAGCUGGAUUCGGUUCCAAGGGUUGGGCUGUCCGCCCAUUAAAGCGGUACGCGAGCUGGGUUCAGAACGUCGUGAGACAGUUCGGUCCCUAUCUGUUGUGGGCGAAGGAGAUCUGCGGAGAGCUGUCCUCAGUACGAGAGGACCGGGAUGGACCUACCGCUGGUGCACCGGUUGUUCCGCCAGGGGCAUAGCCGGGUAGCUAAGUAGGGAAAGGAUAAGCGCUGAAAGCAUCUAAGCACGAAGCCUACUCCAAGAUGAGAUCUCCCAUUCGCAAGAAGUAAGACCCCUUAAAGACGAUAAGGUAGAUAGGCCAGGGAUGGAAGUGCAGUGAUGUACGGGGUUGACUGGUACUAAUCGGUCGAGGACC
RNAcentral lists this ribosomal RNA (1397 nucleotides) under metagenome. RNAcentral describes it as "bacterial LSU rRNA". It matches the Rfam family "Bacterial large subunit ribosomal RNA", at positions 1514 to 2925 of the family's 2925-position model. The record is from RNAcentral.